RNAcentral lists this ribosomal RNA (473 nucleotides) under Streptococcus sanguinis. RNAcentral describes it as "bacterial SSU rRNA". It matches the Rfam family "Bacterial small subunit ribosomal RNA", at positions 28 to 483 of the family's 1533-position model. Lineage: Bacteria; Bacillati; Bacillota; Bacilli; Lactobacillales; Streptococcaceae. The record is from RNAcentral.
GACGAACGCUGGCGGCGUGCCUAAUACAUGCAAGUAGAACGCUGAAGAGAGGAGCUUGCUCUUCUUGGAUGAGUUGCGAACGGGUGAGUAACGCGUAGGUAACCUGCCUGGUAGCGGGGGAUAACUAUUGGAAACGAUAGCUAAUACCGCAUGAUAUUAAUUAUUGCAUGAUAAUUGAUUGAAAGAUGCAAUUGCAUCACUACCAGAUGGACCUGCGUUGUAUUAGCUAGUUGGUGAGGUAACGGCUCACCAAGGCGACGAUACAUAGCCGACCUGAGAGGGUGAUCGGCCACACUGGGACUGAGACACGGCCCAGACUCCUACGGGAGGCAGCAGUAGGGAAUCUUCGGCAAUGGGGGGAACCCUGACCGAGCAACGCCGCGUGAGUGAAGAAGGUUUUCGGAUCGUAAAGCUCUGUUGUAAGAGAAGAACGGGUGUGAGAGUGGAAAGUUCACACUGUGACGGUAUCUACC